UUACAAUUUGUCUCUUAGAUCUAUGUAGUGAUCUAAAUUGAGAAUGUUAAGUUAUUAAAAGUAUGUUUUACUGUUUUAUAGACAGCUUGGUGAUUAUUUCUGAUGAUGAGAUUCCCGAAACAACCACUCAGGACCUUUUGAAUCUGAGUUCCACACAAUUUGAGGGAAACGUGACUAACAGUGAUUAUGACGGAGAUAUUUCAGAUACGAGUGAUGCAAUAGAAGACCAAGAGGAAAUCAUCUCGGAAACCGACAUUCAACAAGACAUCGAACUACAACAGAUCUGCGCAGUGUGGCGUGAAUUCUUCGAAGCAAAGACUGAUUUAUUGGAAAACUUUGGACAGAUUGAUUAUACACUUGAAUCUGGUCGAGGUACAGAUUUUAUCCCAUUACUGUACAGCGUGAAAAUGUGAAUAGAUGUCUCUCAGUGAGCAUAAAGUUGAUUAGGAAAUUGUAUGAUAGAUAUGGCGCAGAAACGAC
Molecule: long non-coding RNA, 480 nt
Organism: Ictalurus punctatus (channel catfish)
Lineage: Eukaryota; Metazoa; Chordata; Actinopteri; Siluriformes; Ictaluridae
Exons: 3
Source: RefSeq, a predicted model, not a curated record